GCGGGCGUGGCGAAAUUGGUAGACGCGCUGGUUUUAGGUACCAGUGGCUUUGGCCGUGGGGGUUCAAGUCCCUCCGCCCGCACCA
RNAcentral lists this transfer RNA (85 nucleotides) under Rhodospirillaceae bacterium. RNAcentral's name for it is "tRNA-Leu". It matches the Rfam family "tRNA". From Rfam's summary of the family: Transfer RNA (tRNA) molecules are approximately 80 nucleotides in length. Their secondary structure includes four short double-helical elements and three loops (D, anti-codon, and T loops). Further hydrogen bonds mediate the characteristic L-shaped molecular structure. tRNAs have two regions of fundamental functional importance: the anti-codon, which is responsible for specific mRNA codon recognition, and the 3' end, to which the tRNAs corresponding amino acid is attached (by aminoacyl-tRNA synthetases). tRNAs cope with the degeneracy of the genetic code in two manners: having more than one tRNA (with a specific anti-codon) for a particular amino acid; and 'wobble' base-pairing, i.e. permitting non-standard base-pairing at the 3rd anti-codon position. RNAcentral also lists the same sequence under 2 other names. Lineage: Bacteria; Pseudomonadati; Pseudomonadota; Alphaproteobacteria; Rhodospirillales; Rhodospirillaceae. The record is from RNAcentral.